AUGUGCCAUUGCUCCCAGCAGCAAGCACGAUGCGUCCACGAGGCUCUGCUCCAGCCACCCGUGCUGCAUGACCGGCCAAAGAAAGCGCGACGCGGCGGCGGCGCGAGUGCCGAGGUGGCCUCCAUCGUGCGGCUCGCCGUGCCUAUGGUCGGCGCGGGGCUGCUCAUGUACGCGCGCUCCCUAGUGUCCAUGAUCUUUCUUGGCCGGCUCGGCCGCCUGCCACUCGCUGGCGGCUCCCUCGCGCUCGGCUUCGCCAACAUCACCGGCUACUCGGUGCUCUCCGGGCUGGCUGCCGGUAUGGACCCGGUGUGCGGCCAGGCGUUCGGUGCCGGCCGCACGUCUGUCCUCGCCGCGGCGCUCCGCCGCACCAUCUCGCUGCUCCUGGUCGCGUCCAUCCCCGUCAGCCUGCUCUGGGUCGCCAUGCACCGCAUCCUCGUCGCCACAGGGCAGGACCCCGACAUUGCGGCCGCUGCUUACGACUUCAUCAUGUGCUCGCUGCCAGACCUCCUCGUGCAGUCCUUCCUCCACCCGAUCCGCGUGUACCUCCGUGCGCAGGCCAUCACGCUCCCGAUCACGUACGCAGCCGCCGCCGCGCUCCUGCUCCACGUUCCCAUCAACUGCAUCCUCUUGCAGGGCCUCCGCCUCGGUAUCCGCGGCGUCGCCCUCGGAGCCGUCUGCACCAACCUAAACUUCUUGCUGUUCCUCGUGACCUACGUGUACUUCUCCGGAGUAACCCAUGGCAAUGGCGGCAGCGAUGGCAAAGAUGGUGCAUGUUUGUCACCGAUGGAGGAACCUGCUCUGGAAUGGGGCCGCUUGGUCAGGCUCUCCGUUCACAGCUGCAUGUCGAUAUGCCUGGAGUGGUGGUGGUACGAGAUCAUGGUCAUGCUUUGCGGCGUGCUCACCGACCCGAAAGCGGCGGUGGCAGCUAUGGGAAUACUCAUACAGACCACGUCACUGGUGUAUAUCUUCCCGCAUUCCCUCAGCUGCGCCGUGUCCACGCGCGUCGGGCAUGAGCUCGGCGCGGGGCGGCCGGAGCGUGCGCGCCUCGCGGCACGCGUCGGCCUCGCCUGUGGCGCCGCGCUGGGCCUCGUGGCGUGCGCAUUCGCGGCGUCCGUGAGGGGCGUAUGGGCGCGAAUGUUCACCGCAGAUGCGGCCAUCCUGCGGCUGACGUCCGUGGCGCUGCCCAUUCUCGGCGCCGCCGAGCUGGGCAACUGCCCGCAGACAGCGGGUUGCGGCGUGCUCCGCGGCAGCGCGCGGCUGGGGAAGGCCGCGAGGAUCAACGCCUCAGCCUUCUAUGGCGUCGGCAUGCCGGCCGCUCUGGCGCUGGCGUUCUGGCCGGCACGGCUCGACUUCCGGGGCAUGUGGGCCGGCAUGCUGACGGCGCAGCUGGUGUGCGCGGCCCUGAUGCUGCGAGCGGUGCAGCGCACGGACUGGGAAGAUCAGGCCGUUCGCGCGCGCGAGCUGACCGGCGCGGAGGCCCAUGGCGACGUCAAAAGCUGCCAUGCAGACGCAGACAGUGUAAUGGCGGGCAACGGCUUGCUCGUGGUGACUGUGCUAAGUUGA
RNAcentral lists this ribosomal RNA (1563 nucleotides) under Triticum aestivum (bread wheat). RNAcentral's name for it is "partial small subunit ribosomal RNA". The record is from RNAcentral. Lineage: Eukaryota; Viridiplantae; Streptophyta; Magnoliopsida; Poales; Poaceae.